Molecule: ribosomal RNA, 444 nt
Filed under: uncultured bacterium
Lineage: Bacteria
Description: bacterial SSU rRNA
Rfam family: Bacterial small subunit ribosomal RNA
Source: RNAcentral
UAAGGAAUAUUGGUCAAUGGACGGAAGUCUGAACCAGCCAUGCCGCGUGCAGGAAGACGGCCCUACGGGUUGUAAACUGCUUUUGCAGGGGAAUAAACCUUCGUAUGUAUACGAAGCUGAAUGUACUCUGAGAAUAAGGAUCGGCUAACUCCGUGCCAGCAGCCGCGGUAAUACGGAGGAUCCAAGCGUUAUCCGGAUUUAUUGGGUUUAAAGGGUGCGUAGGCGGCUUUUUAAGUCAGGGGUGAAAGACGGUAGCUUAACUAUCGCAGUGCCCUUGAUACUGAAGAGCUUGAAUGUAGUUGAGGUAGGCGGAAUGUGACAAGUAGCGGUGAAAUGCAUAGAUAUGUCACAGAACACCAAUUGCGAAGGCAGCUUACUAAGCUAUGAUUGACGCUGAGGCACGAAAGCGUGGGGAUCAAACAGGAUUAGAUACCCGCGUAGUCC